This 505-nucleotide ribosomal RNA is filed under the name uncultured bacterium. RNAcentral's name for it is "partial 16S ribosomal RNA". It matches the Rfam family "Bacterial small subunit ribosomal RNA", at positions 28 to 507 of the family's 1533-position model. The record is from RNAcentral.
GACGAACGCUGGCGGCGUGCCUAAUACAUGCAAGUAGAACGCACAGUUUAUACCGUAGCUUGCUACACCAUAGACUGUGAGUUGCGAACGGGUGAGUAACGCGUAGGUAACCUGCCUGGUAGCGGGGGAUAACUAUUGGAAACGAUAGCUAAUACCGCAUAAUAUUAAUUAUUGCAUGAUAAUUGAUUGAAAGAUGCAGCUGCAUCACUGCCAGAUGGACCUGCGUUGUAUUAGCUAGUAGGUGAGGUAACGGCUCACCUAGGCGACGAUACAUAGCCGACCUGAGAGGGUGAUCGGCCACACUGGGACUGAGACACGGCCCAGACUCCUACGGGAGGCAGCAGUAGGGAAUCUUCGGCAAUGGACGAAAGUCUGACCGAGCAACGCCGCGUGAGUGAAGAAGGGUUUCGGAUCGUAAAGCUCUGUUGUAAGAGAAGAACGGGUGUGAGAGUGGAAAGUUCACACUGUGACGGUAGCUUACCAGAAAGGGACGGCUAACUACGUG